This 67-nucleotide transfer RNA is filed under the name Bundoksia longissima. RNAcentral describes it as "tRNA-Pro". Lineage: Eukaryota; Metazoa; Arthropoda; Insecta; Blattodea; Blattidae. The record is from RNAcentral.
CAGGAAAUAGUUUAUUUAAAAUAUUAAUUUUGGAGAUUAAUGAAAAGAUAAUAUAUUUUUUUUCUGA